Molecule: ribosomal RNA, 460 nt
Filed under: uncultured bacterium
Lineage: Bacteria
Description: partial 16S ribosomal RNA
Rfam family: Bacterial small subunit ribosomal RNA
Source: RNAcentral
CCUACGGGAGGCUGCAGUGAGGAAUAUUGGUCAAUGGGCGCGAGCCUGAACCAGCCAAGUAGCGUGAAGGAUGACUGCCCUACGGGUUGUAAACUUCUUUUAUAAAGGAAUAAAGUGAGGCACGUGUGCCUUUUUGUAUGUACUUUAUGAAUAAGGAUCGGCUAACUCCGUGCAAGCAGCCGCGGUAUUACGGAGGAUUCGAGCGUUAUCCGGCUUUAUGGGGUGUAAAGGGAGCGUAGGCGGGUUGUUAAGUCAGUUGUGAAAGGUUGCGGCUCAACCGUAAAAUUGCAGUUGAUACUGGGAGCCUUGAGUACAGGAGAGGUAGGCGGAAUUCGUGGUGUAGCGGUGAAAUGCGUAGAUAUUACGAAGAACUCCGAUUGCGAAGGCAGCCUGCUGGACUGUAACUGACGCUGAUGCUCGAAAGUGUGGGUAGCAAACAGGAUUAGAUACCCCUGUAGUC